Molecule: ribosomal RNA, 253 nt
Filed under: uncultured bacterium
Lineage: Bacteria
Description: partial 16S ribosomal RNA
Rfam family: Bacterial small subunit ribosomal RNA
Source: RNAcentral
UACGUAUGGGGCAAGCGUUGUCCGGAAUCAUUGGGCGUAAAGAGCGUGUAGGCGGCUCGGUAAGUCCGCUGUGAAAGUCCAGGGCUCAACCCUGGAAUGCCGGUGGAAACUGUCGAGCUAGAGUCCGGAAGAGGCGAGUGGAAUUCCUGGUGUAGCGGUGAAAUGCGCAGAUAUCAGGAGGAACACCAAUGGCGAAGGCGGCUCUCUGGGACGGUACUGACGCUGAGACGCGAAAGCGUGGGGAGCGAACAGG